RNAcentral lists this ribosomal RNA (293 nucleotides) under uncultured bacterium. RNAcentral describes it as "partial 16S ribosomal RNA". It matches the Rfam family "Archaeal small subunit ribosomal RNA", at positions 455 to 747 of the family's 1478-position model. The record is from RNAcentral.
GUGCCAGCAGCCGCGGUAAUACCGGCAGCCCGAGUGAUGGCCGAUCUUAUUGGGCCUAAAGCGUCCGUAGCUGGCUGCGCAAGUCCGUCGGGAAAUCCACUCGCCCAACGAGUGGGCGUCCGACGGAAACUCCACACCUUGGGACCGGAAGGCUCGAAGGGUACGGCCGGGGUAGGAGUGAAAUCCCGUAAUCCCGCACGGAUCACCGAUGGCGAAAGCACCUCGAGAAGACGGCUCCGACGGUGAGGGACGAAAGCCAGGGUCUCGAACCGGAUUAGAUACCCCGGUAGUCC